Molecule: transfer RNA, 72 nt
Filed under: bacterium
Lineage: Bacteria
Description: tRNA-Arg
Rfam family: tRNA
About the family: Transfer RNA (tRNA) molecules are approximately 80 nucleotides in length.
Source: RNAcentral
GUCCUCGUAGUUAAAUGGAUAUAACUGCCCCGUCCUAAGGGGCCAUUGCUGGUUCGAUUCCAACCGAGGACA